CCUACGGGUGGCUGCAGUGAGGAAUAUUGGUCAAUGGACGAGAGUCUGAACCAGCGACGCCGCGUGAAGGAUGACUGCCCUAUGGGCUGUAAACUUCGUCUAUAAAGGAAUAAAACGAGGCAGGUGAGCCUCUUUGCAUGUACUUUAUGAAUAAGGAUCGCCUAACUCCGCGCCAGCAGCCGCGGUAAUACGGAGGAUCCGAGCGUUAUCCGGAUUUAUAGGGGUUAAAGGGAGCGUAGGUGGGUUGUUAAGUCAGUUGUGAAAGUUUGCGGCUCAACCGUGAAACUGCAAUUGAUACUGGCAAACUUGAGUAUGUGAGAGGAUAGUGGAAUUCCAGGUGUAGCAGUGAAAUGCGUAGAUAUCACGAGGAACAUCGAUGGCGAAGGCAGCUAACUAGAAUGUGACUGACAUUGAUGAGCGAAAGUGUGGGUAUCAAACAGGAUUAGAUACCCCAGUAGUC
Molecule: ribosomal RNA, 460 nt
Filed under: uncultured bacterium
Lineage: Bacteria
Description: partial 16S ribosomal RNA
Rfam family: Bacterial small subunit ribosomal RNA
Source: RNAcentral